This 536-nucleotide ribosomal RNA is filed under the name Lestes dissimulans. Its description in RNAcentral is "partial 16S ribosomal RNA". It matches the Rfam family "Bacterial large subunit ribosomal RNA", at positions 1830 to 2619 of the family's 2925-position model. The record is from RNAcentral. Lineage: Eukaryota; Metazoa; Arthropoda; Insecta; Odonata; Lestidae.
GUCUUCUUGUUUUUUAUAUGAAGUCUGACCUGCCCAGUGAAUAAAUUUUAAACGGCCGCGGUAUUCUGACCGUGCAAAGGUAGCAUAAUCAUUAGUCUUUUAAUAGAAGGCUGGUAUGAAUGGUUUGACGAGGUGUUAACUGUCUCAUUUAAUUUUUUAUUAAAAUUUAACUUUUUAGUCAAAAGGCUAAAAUAUAUUUGGAAGACGAGAAGACCCUAUAGAGCUUUAUAAUAUUUUAAUUGAACAUAUUUUGAUUUAUUUAUUUGUUUAUUUUUUCUAUUAUUCUGUUGGGGUGACAAAAAUAUAUAAUUAACUUUUUUAUUUAUUUUACAUUGAUUAAUGAUUUAUUGGAUCCAUUAUUUAAUGAUUAUUAGACUAAGUUACCUUAGGGAUAACAGCGUAAUCUUCUUUCAGAGUUCAAAUUUACAAGAAGGCUUGCGACCUCGAUGUUGGAUUAAGAUUAUAAUUAGGUGCAGCCGCUUAAUUUAUAGGUCUGUUCGACCUUUAAUUUCUUACAUGAUCUGAGUUCAAACCGG